GACGAACGCUGGCGGCGCGCCUAACACAUGCAAGUCGAACGGAAAGGCGCUGAUCUUGUGGGGUGCUCGAGUGGCGAACGGGUGUGUAACACGCGAGUAUCCUGCCCUUGUCUUUCGGGUAACAUCUGGAAACUCGGGCUAAUACCGGAUAGGAGCUCUUGCUGCAUGGUGGUGGAUGGAAAGAGUCGGCGGUUGGGGAUGGACUCGCGGCUUAUGCGCUUGUUGGUGAGGUAGUGGCUUACCAAGGUUUUGACGGGUAGCCGGCCUGGGAGGGGGACCGGCGUCAGUGGGACUGAGAUACGGACCAGACUCCUACGGGACGCAGCAGUGGAGAAUAUUGCACAGUGGGCGGGAGCCUGAGACAGCGACGCCGCGUGCGGGAUGACGGGCUUCGGGUUGUGAACCGAUGUGGAAUGUGACGUGGCGGGAGUGACGGUAAUGGGUAAAGAAGCACCGGCUAACUACGUG
Molecule: ribosomal RNA, 468 nt
Filed under: uncultured bacterium
Lineage: Bacteria
Description: partial 16S ribosomal RNA
Rfam family: Bacterial small subunit ribosomal RNA
Source: RNAcentral